GUGGCCGAGGAAACAAUGACACUGACGAUGGCUCUUCAUGGGUUUCUCUGAUGCACCUGUCCACUUCAGUCCGUCUGUAAGGCAGGAGCUGCCACGUCACUGAGUGCUGCCACUUGCAGUAGCACAGUGAGGCCUUCAUCAGGGGCUGGCGGUCUUUGUGGAUAAGAGGUGCACGGGAACCUCGGCAGCACUUUGAGGUGCCCAUCAGCAGCCAUCCACGCUGAGCGUCUCCCUGCGCUACAUUCACCAGAAAGGCCAAACACAGUUCUCAUUGGUGAAGAGGAUUCCAAACCCCAGUGCCCUUGUGGUGGUCUGUUUCUGUUUGAGUUGGGAUUCAAGGUAUUUCUGAGCUUGUGAAGGAGCAGGGAGGUGGAAGAAGGCUGGUGCUGAGCAGACGGUGAGCCCUGUUGGGCCCGUGCCUGAACUCCACCUAGAAAUCCCUCCUCUAGAGCCAGGCUCUGCCACCUGCAUAUCUUGGGCGAUGGCUGCAGCCAGGCUGCUGCCGUGGAUGAGCAGAGCAGAGCGGGGUUGAAGCCUCAUUGUCCACGAUGUCUUGCCACUGAUGCUUGGGGAAGCUUGGAGAGGAGGAAAAGGCCACUUCACAUUCACCACAGGUGCGAGGUUUCUGUCUUUUGUGCAAGCUGCUGAUUCCCAUGGGGAGAGAAGACUGGAAAGUGCUUGCUCACCAGUGAAGUUACGUGUGUCCUGCAUGCGGCCUUAAGCAGGAUUUGGGAGGAAGCAGCUCUGAUGCUGUGAUUCUGAAAACAGAUUCUCACGUAUGAUGGCCCCGGAGAAGCUGCAUCUUAAUAAAAUAGUGCACUGGAUGGAUACAUGUAAUAUGCCGGAUAGGUGCAUUUUUUGAUUGACUACUCAUCAUAGAGGGAAAGGCCGUGAGAAGACACAAAGGAAUAAGGAAAUUUGCACGACUCUCGUGUCACCUGUGCUGAUGACAGCAGUAAGUGGUGAUGGAUGCUGCCCCCCCUGCACUUCCUACCCUGUCAGAUCCCAGCUGUGGCUCCAGCUUCACCAUGGCUGCCCUGGGCCCAGGCUAGGUUGAGAGAAAACUGCGAUCCUCUCCUGCUUUCAGCAUCCACAGCAGUGCUGCCCCUGUUGAUCUGUGACCCAUG
Molecule: long non-coding RNA, 1127 nt
Organism: Fukomys damarensis (Damara mole-rat)
Lineage: Eukaryota; Metazoa; Chordata; Mammalia; Rodentia; Bathyergidae
Exons: 3
Source: RefSeq, a predicted model, not a curated record